CAAACGGCCCUUUUCAGGGCCAACAAUUUUAACACGUGUAACAAGU
Non-coding RNA from Pediculus humanus corporis (human body louse), 46 nucleotides. NCBI's taxonomy places the organism in Eukaryota, Metazoa, Arthropoda, Insecta, Psocodea, Pediculidae. The record is from Rfam.